AUGGCCAAAUCCAAGAACAAUAUCACAGAAGACCAGUCCUGAAAAUGGCACAGAAAUGGCUUCAAGACAUUCAGAUUCUAAGGAAUGCAUAAUUCUGCCAACAAGCCCAACAAAAAAGUCCUCGAAAAGAUUCAGGCCAACAUUUCCAAGGCAAUGAGCACCUAUACAGAGGCCAAAAAGGUGCUCCUCAAGCCCAAAGUAAUCAAAUUGGUACUCUUAAAAGGUACCAGCCCUGAACUGGAUAUCACCCACACCAUCCAUCCCAGUCUCUUUCCCAGCUGUCCAUACUGUCAACAUACUAAGCUUUGGCAACCAAUGGCCAGUAACGAGGUCAAGGCCAAGGCACAG
RNAcentral lists this long non-coding RNA (348 nucleotides) under Homo sapiens (human). RNAcentral describes it as "non-protein coding lnc-MARCH10-7:1". The record is from RNAcentral. Lineage: Eukaryota; Metazoa; Chordata; Mammalia; Primates; Hominidae.